AACUGGAUUACAGGGCAAAGUCUCCAUUGGCAGGCAGACAACCACUUUAAACGUGCAUUUAAAGCUCAUGCUUUGAUGUAGUGUGCUCUCUGCCAAAGGAGAUUUGCCCGGCAAUUCUUUU
Molecule: non-coding RNA, 121 nt
Organism: Gossypium hirsutum (cotton)
Lineage: Eukaryota; Viridiplantae; Streptophyta; Magnoliopsida; Malvales; Malvaceae
Source: Rfam